UACGGAGGGUGCAAGCGUUGUCCGGAUUUAUUGGGUUUAAAGGGUGCGUAGGCGGCCCGUUAAGUCAGCGGUGAAAUCCCGGGGCUCAACCGCGGAACUGCCAUUGAUACUGGAAGGCUUGAGUACAGACGAGGUGGGCGGAAUUGAAGAUGUAGCGGUGAAAUGCUUAGAUAUCUUCAAGAACACCGAUUGCGUAGGCAGCUUACUAGGCUGUAACUGACGCUGAGGCACGAAAGCGUGGGGAGCGAACAGG
Molecule: ribosomal RNA, 253 nt
Filed under: uncultured bacterium
Lineage: Bacteria
Description: partial 16S ribosomal RNA
Rfam family: Bacterial small subunit ribosomal RNA
Source: RNAcentral